AUGAAGAUAGUUCCCAUCCAGCCGGGGCACGGCCCUCGGACAGCAGAGGCCAGGCCAGAAGGAAAAGCAAAAAGGCCCCCGUUGCCAAAACAGGGACAAAGUGGUAACCGUACAUGGACUAUACGCACCGCACACCCCCCAUCCUAUGCCUUAGCUGGUGCUUUCUUCACUGUACAGACGGCGUUCUCCACCUCGGUUCCUGCUGGCAUUAGAAAAGGUCUGGGCACAAGGGACGUGGGAGGAAAAGCCACCAAGAGCGGGGAGCGGGGAGCGGGGAGCGGGGCUUGUCGCCGGCGCACAGGAACACCGUGCUGCAGUUGGCUGUGGAGAAGCCCCAGAGCUUGGUCCCAGGCGCAGGGGCUGCGGAUGUCCGGAGCAGCUGUUGCUGAUGCCCAAAUCCGCCCCCUAGAUCUAGGGUGGAGAGCGGGCGCGCUACUGCAAAAUGACUUUCCCCUCUUAAAACUGAAUGAAUGAGUGGAAUUCAGAAUCUGUCAAAGGGAUAAGGCGAAUGAAUGAAUGAAUGAUAAAUAUGCUCUGCUUCUUGGCUUGAGACGUCCACGGCAGAUGUGCAAAGACACACGAGGGCGAGUGUAAGCUGUGGAAACUGGUGGCCCGUGGAACUGCAAACAGACCCAGCUUCAGCCAGGAGCAGCUGGACCGGGCUGCCCUCCGGGUGCCCUGGUCACACUCCUGCCCUCCCCUCUGGGGCUGCAGUCUGCCUCCCAGGAAGGUGUCAGUGGUGCAGACCUUGCCUCACCUCCCAGGAGACUGCAGAGGCUGGAGGCGGGAUGCUGUGGGAUGGUGGUGAUGCAAGGUGUCCUCAAGCGGCACAGCCGUGCAGCCAGUGCCUUGCCUCUCUGGAGCGCAGCCGGAAGCCAGGCACUCUGGAGAGCUGGCUGUGGAGAGCGAGGCAUUCUAGCAGCAGAGCCUGUCUGACUGUGUGCCCAGGGGCCCUUGCUGGGCAGCAGGGCUUGAGGACCACAUCACCCAGUUUAGCCAUGUGCACAGCUCUGGUACAUGUGGUUGGGGC
This 1030-nucleotide long non-coding RNA is filed under the name Chinchilla lanigera (long-tailed chinchilla). RNAcentral describes it as "lncRNA (ENSCLAG00000026481.1)". Lineage: Eukaryota; Metazoa; Chordata; Mammalia; Rodentia; Chinchillidae. The record is from RNAcentral.